UCUCCUGUAGCUCAGUGGUAGAGCGUCCGCCCGGUGUGCGAAAGGUCAUAGGUUCGAUUGCUGCUGGGAGAA
Non-coding RNA from Desmophyllum pertusum, 72 nucleotides. The record is from the annotation of a GenBank genome assembly. NCBI's taxonomy places the organism in Eukaryota, Metazoa, Cnidaria, Anthozoa, Scleractinia, Caryophylliidae.